Molecule: ribosomal RNA, 373 nt
Filed under: uncultured Bacteroidota bacterium
Lineage: Bacteria; Pseudomonadati; Bacteroidota
Description: bacterial SSU rRNA
Rfam family: Bacterial small subunit ribosomal RNA
Source: RNAcentral
UAAUACGGAGGGUCCAAGCGUUGUCCGGAUUUAUUGGGUGUAAAGGGUGUGUAGGCGGGCUUGUAAGUCAGAGGUGAAAUCCUACGGCUCAACCGUAGAACUGCCUUUGAUACUGCAGGUCUUGAGUCCUGGAGAGGUUGUUAGAAUUCGUGGUGUAGCGGUGAAAUGCGUAGAUAUCACGAGGAAUACCGGUUACGAAGGUUGACAGCUGGACAGGUACUGACGCUGAGGCACGAAAGCGUGGGGAGCAAACAGGAUUAGAUACCCUGGUAGUCCACGCCGUAAACGAUGAUCACUCGGUGUCGCGGAGUAAUCUGCGGUGCCUAAGCUAACGCAUUAAGUGAUCCACCUGGGGAGUACGAUCGCAAGGUUG